This 511-nucleotide long non-coding RNA is filed under the name Equus caballus (horse). Its description in RNAcentral is "lncRNA (ENSECAG00000032678.2)". The record is from RNAcentral. Lineage: Eukaryota; Metazoa; Chordata; Mammalia; Perissodactyla; Equidae.
AAGGACUUUCAGGAAGUCUUAUAUAUUGAAUGCUUUAGAAAGAAAUUGGGCCCUGUCUCAGCAAGGCAGUUUUUUGCAACAGUCUGAAAGGAUAAGAAAAGGAAAAAUGUUAUUUCCUCUCGUUUCCUCAUCAGUUGCUGCAAGUCAUUAACCUCCCUUGCCUCUCAAGCUCCUUCCAUAAAGCGUGACGUCCCUGCCGAUUGUUAGAUGAAAGAUCCGAUCCUUAUUUGAAGAAACCUCCUCAGUGGAAAACGGACUGUGGCUGACGACGCCUGUCAUCUGUGCUGUCGCUGGAGGGCAGAACGCUGGUGCCCGGCAUUGUCAGGCCCUGAGUUUACCUGCAAGUGGGCACGUAUUGCCCUCCCCGGGCCUCACCAGACUCCGCUGGCUCCUGAAAACUCUCCAGCCUGACUCUGCUUUUUCUCAUUUUGUUUAUUCUUUCAAAAUAUACAGUAUACUCCUUUCAGGCAGGUGCAAGAAUUUCUGUAAUAAUUCAUGUUCUCAUUUUCAG